GGCACAGUAAAAAGAUACAUGAAUAUCCAAGCAGAGAGAAGAAUGUGCUGAGUUUCUUCACUGACAGGGAGACAUUUAAGCUUGUUCUUAAGCACCUUGCCUCUCUGAGGACUUAAGUAGAUUUUCAAAAGAGAAAAGGAAUGAUCCUCCUCAUUGAUGACCUUUCUGGUUUUGUCCAGUUGGCAGAUUUCUAUCCCUGUAGUAACAGAAAAUAUUAAUGAGGGCACAACCAGGACUGUGGAGAGAAAGGCAAAAGAAAGCCUACGAAAAAGCAGCGCUUCAUAAUUAGGGGCCCUUGGGCUGCAGUAAACCCCUGAUGGGGUAAAACUGUUGGACGUGGGGCAAACCUGGAUGGACACAAGGCCACCACCUCCUCCAGAAAACUCAGGGCAAAGCACAGGUAAACACUUGGGCCUUGUGUGGCUGUGCUCUGGUUGAGGCUGGGGGAGGGAAAAUCACUGCCAUUGCACUGAAUGAACGUGACUCCUGAAUCUCCUUACUCUGCUUCUCCUCCUGCCCCCAUCUCUCGUCCUCUGGAACACCACACAUGCGGGAGGCUCUCAGGUAAGCAAAGAGGAGACGGUCACAGCAAAUGACAGCGCCAGAGCUGAGGGCAGCACGCACUGAUAAAUCCCUGCCAAACCCUUUUCCCUUCUGAAACACAAUCUGUGUAAUGGAAAUAAUUACCAAAGAAACAGACAAAACUACUUCUGAAUGAAAUUUAAGCUCCAGCAGACCAGAGAAGCGGCAGGAAACGCCAAGCACAAAGUAACCAUCCCUUCAUCCUGAAUUCACACCAUUUU
RNAcentral lists this long non-coding RNA (803 nucleotides) under Coturnix japonica (Japanese quail). RNAcentral's name for it is "lncRNA (ENSCJPG00005016822.1)". The record is from RNAcentral. Lineage: Eukaryota; Metazoa; Chordata; Aves; Galliformes; Phasianidae.